RNAcentral lists this ribosomal RNA (465 nucleotides) under uncultured bacterium. Its description in RNAcentral is "partial 16S ribosomal RNA". It matches the Rfam family "Bacterial small subunit ribosomal RNA", at positions 338 to 795 of the family's 1533-position model. The record is from RNAcentral.
CCUACGGGUGGCAGCAGUAGGGAAUCUUCCACAAUGGGCGAAAGCCUGAUGGAGCAACGCCGCGUGGGUGAAGAAGGUCUUCGGAUCGUAAAACCCUGUUGUUAGAGAAGAAAGUGCGUGAGAGUAACUGUUCACGUUUCGACGGUAUCUAACCAGAAAGCCACGGCUAACUACGUGCCAGCAGCCGCGGUAAUACGGAGGGUGCAAGCGUUGUCCGGAAUCAUUGGGCGUAAAGAGUUCGUAGGUGGCAUAUUAAGUCUGGUGUUAAAUGCAGAAGCUCAACUUCUGUUCGGCACUGGAUACUGGUAAGCUUGAAUGCGGUAGAGGUAAAGGGAAUUCCUGGUGUAGCGGUGAAAUGCGUAGAUAUCAGGAGGAACAUCGGUGGCGUAAGCGCUUUACUGGGCCGUAAUUGACACUGAGGAACGAAAGCCGGGGUAGCAAAUGGGAUUAGAUACCCCAGUAGUC